CCUACGGGAGGCAGCAGUGGGGAAUUUUGGACAAUGGGCGCAAGCCUGAUCCAGCAAUGCCGCGUGAGUGAAGAAGGCCUUCGGGUUGUAAAGCUCUUUUGUCAGGGAAGAAACGGUGGGGGCUAAUAUCUCCUACUAAUGACGGUACCUGAAGAAUAAGCACCGGCUAACUACGUGCCAGCAGCCGCGGUAAUACGUAGGGUGCAAGCGUUAAUCGGAAUUACUGGGCGUAAAGCGUGCGCAGGCGGUUUUGUAAGUCUGUCGUGAAAGCCCCGGGCUCAACCUGGGAAUUGCGAUGGAGACUGCAAGGCUUGAAUCUGGCAGAGGGGGGUAGAAUUCCACGUGUAGCAGUGAAAUGCGUAGAGAUGUGGAGGAACACCGAUGGCGAAGGCAGCCCCCUGGGUCAAGAUUGACGCUCAUGCACGAAAGCGUGGGGAGCAAACAGGAUUAGAUACCCUGGUAGUCCACGCCCUAAACGAUGUCUACUAGUUGUCGGGUUUUAAUUAACUUGGUAACGCAGCUAACGCGUGAAGUAGACCGCCUGGGGAUACGGUCGCAAGAUUAAAACUCAAAUGAAUUGACGG
Molecule: ribosomal RNA, 584 nt
Filed under: uncultured bacterium
Lineage: Bacteria
Description: bacterial SSU rRNA
Rfam family: Bacterial small subunit ribosomal RNA
Source: RNAcentral